RNAcentral lists this transfer RNA (75 nucleotides) under Candidatus Poribacteria bacterium. Its description in RNAcentral is "tRNA-Glu". It matches the Rfam family "tRNA". From Rfam's summary of the family: Transfer RNA (tRNA) molecules are approximately 80 nucleotides in length. Their secondary structure includes four short double-helical elements and three loops (D, anti-codon, and T loops). The record is from RNAcentral. Lineage: Bacteria; Candidatus Poribacteria.
GCCCCGGUCGUCUAGCCUGGCCAAGGACACCGCCCUUUCACGGCGGCGACACGAGUUCAAAUCUCGUCCGGGGUA